This 14355-nucleotide long non-coding RNA is filed under the name Lactuca sativa (garden lettuce). RNAcentral describes it as "long non-coding RNA (LSAT_LNC009597)". The record is from RNAcentral. Lineage: Eukaryota; Viridiplantae; Streptophyta; Magnoliopsida; Asterales; Asteraceae.
GAGUAGCUUGAAGAUUGCCUUGGAUCGGCCAGUGAGUGGUCCAGUCGAGUCAUGGGUUGACUCAGUGAGUCAGGGCGAGUUAGGGAAGGGUGGUCAAGUGGACUGAGUCGAGCUGGGACUCGCCGAGUUGUUCUUGAGACUCGGCGAGUUGAGUCGGGGUGGCCCCGCGAUUCUUCCAGGUGGAACUCGUCGAGUCAGGGGGAGUACUCGACGUGUAAGAAGGGAAUCCUAGAGAGUUGGUGAAAACGUCUAGACUCGCCGAGUUGCCCUUGUGCACUCGCCGAGUCCGGUCAAAGUUGACCGUUGACCGUUGACCAGAGUUGACCUGUGUUGACUUCUUAGGGAUAGUCAACCUUAGAGAUAAAAAGUGUUAAUUAGAGACAUAUGAUGUUAUAGGAGGAUUAUAGCUCGGAGGAUCGGGCACGAGGGAUUUCAGGAUUUGUGAGUCAUCGAGAUACGCGAGGUGAGUCUUCUCACUAUACUUUACCUUGAGUAGGUAACCAGAGUUAUGUGACAGAGUAUUGUAUGUUAUGUAUGCUAUAUGUUGUACUGCAUUAUUUCUAUGUGAUUAUGCUGUGCAUGUUUACAGAGUUGGAACCGGAAGGUUCCUAGAGUUAGAACCUGAGGGUUCACAGAGUUUGGGUGCACGGACCCAUAGAGUUAUAGCCUCGAGUGGCUAAUAUGUGUUUUAUGUGUGGUAUUUUGGGGAACUCACUAAGCUUUGUGCUUACAGUGUUAGUGUUGUUGUUUCAGGUACUAGCGAUGACCGUGGGAAGGCGCCGGCUUGAUCCGUACACACGCAUGGGAUUUUGUUAUACUUGUGAUCUUGGGAUUUUGUAUAAUGUAAAUUGGGAUUUAAACUUGAUGAUUUUAUGAAAAGUUAAUGGGAAAUGUUUUUAUAAAUUGUGAAAAAUUAUUUUGAAAUUUACGGUGUUACAAGUUGGUAUCAGAGCCUUGGUUUGAGGGAUUCGAGUACACCUUCGGGCGUAUUUGAACUCAAACUGAGGAUUUGAGAUGUAUUUUCAAAAAGAGUAAAAGAUUUUUGAAAAACGCAGAGCAAGAGAUGUGUGUACGAUCAGUCAGCGCCCGAACGGUGAUUUCCCAAAAUACCUUUAUAUUAUGUGAUAUUGAUAUUGAUAUGAUGUAUCUGCAUGCUAGAGUAGGCUAGGUAUUGCUAUUAGGACUAGAGUGGCCUGAUUUGUGAUGCCUUAGCCUAGGGAGAGGUGAGCUGCUAUGAGAUGCUUGAGAGUGAGUAGGUAGCAGCGAGGGGCUUAUGAGAGAUCUAUUAGAGAGUGGUCUACGCAUGAUAGAGUACUUGGGACUUGGGAUCCGAAGAGGAGGACUUGGGGUGUAUUCUGGUGCGGUGCGGACAGUAGUAUUGGGCCCGUACUACUGAAAGCACCGGAGCGGUGUGCAGCCCAAGUAAGAAUCUUUGGAAUACCAAGAAUCAAGGAGGAAAGAGUUGUCGAGUGUGAGUAUGCUCGUGUGGAUUCUGAUUUUCGUAUGUUGUAUUUCAGAGGUAGAUCAUGGUGAGGACACGUUUGAUGCCCGAGAGCAGUGGUACCAGUGAGGAGGAGAUCCGCCGGAUCAUCCAGGAGGAGGUGGCUGCGGCCAUCAGGGCAGAGAUACCGGAGAUGUUUGGGUCUAUAAAGACCACACUGAUUGAGACGUUUGAUGAGCGUUAUGCCGCUCUUUCUGAGGCUGCUGCUGCAGCGGCUACCGCAGCGAUUGCUGCUGCGAGGCCGCAGGGUGGGGAUGCGUUGCUGUUCCGUGAGUUCAGCAACACAAAACCACCAGAGUUUGAUGGUACUCAGGAUCCGGUGGCAGCUAUGAGGUGGAUAUCUGAUAUUGAGGGGUGUUUCUUCACUUGCUCGUCUCCUGAGCAUUUGAAGGUACGGUUCGCGCUGAACCAGCUUCGCUUGGGAGCGAAGGACUGGUGGAAGUUUGUGACGGCGCAUUAUACGCCUGCUGAGCUUUCUGCGGUGACCUGGGAGAGGUUCACCACCAUGUUUCGGGAUGAGUACGUUCCCCAGGUGGAGAGGGAGCGUUUAGCACAGGAGUUUCUGACCCUCAAGCAGGGUACUGAGUCUGUUACAGCGAUCACGAGGAUGUUCCACGAGAGGGCGAUGUUCUGCCCUGAGCACGUGUCCACUGAGCAGGCACGUAUGAGCCGCUACUUGAGCAUCUUGAGGAGGGAUAUUCGGGAGUUCGCUGCGAACUCCUCGUACCGGACAUUUGCCGAGCUUCAGGCAAAUGCCCGGAAGAGGGAGAUUGAGCUUGAGACUCAGGCCAGGGAGGAGGCGGAGUCUCAGGGGAGGGAUCGGCGACCGGCACUGUCGCAGCCGGCCGCCAAGCGGGCCAAGCCUGCUGAUCCCAGACCAGGGAGCCAGAAGGGCCGCACUUGCGGAAAGUGCGGCAAGGGUCAUGACGGAGUCUGCCGAGCAGGGUCUUGCUACAAAUGUGGCAAGGAGGGGCACAUGGCCAAGGACUGCCCCAAGGGGUUUGCAGUGUGCUUUCACUGCAACCAGACCGGACACCGGAAGGCCGAGUGUCCGCAGUUGCGCGGAGCAUCUCAGGGGUCUGCUCCUGCCGCCACCAGAGUUACAGAGAGUCGGCCUGUGAAGGCCGAGACGCCGAGAGCUCGAGGGAGAGCCUUCCAGCUGACUGCGGAGGAGGUCCGCGCUGCGCCCGAUGUUGUGGCUGGUAUGUUUCCUUUCGUGUAUUUAUUUUGAUAUAUGAUGUUAUGCUUAUAUUAUGUUAUGUGUAGGUACUUUUCUUGUGAAUUCCGUACCUGCUUUAGUGUUAUUUGACUCGGGUGCGAGUCGGUCUUUUGUAUCUUUGGCCUUUAGCCAGCAUAUCAGUGCUAGUCGUGAGGCACUGAGUCGGCCUCUGAGAGUCUCCAUAGCUGAUGAUAGAGUGAUUUGUGCCGCAGAGGUUUUCCGGGGAUGUGUGUUAGAGAUCUUCGGGAUUGAGUUUCCGAUUGAUCUGAUUCCUAUUGCGAUGGGUGAUGUUUGUGUCAUUGUGGGCAUGGACUGGUUGAGCCGAUUCGGCGCGAUUAUCGACUGUGAGCGUCAGCUGGUGACUAUACGAGACCCUAGUGGGGGAGUUCUUUCGGUGUACGGUGAGGGUACACGUUCGGGAUCAGCCUUUUGUUCGGCCGCUAGGGCGAGGCAGUGUCUACAGCAGGGCUGUAAGGGUUUUGUGGCGUAUGUGAUGGAUACGCGAGCGACUUCCGAGAGACCGAGUUCAGUUGGGGAGGUACCGGUGGUAUGUGAGUUUCCAGAUGUCUUUCCCGAGGAGCUGCCGGGAGUACCUCCUGUGAGGCAAGUAGAGUUUGGUAUUGAUUUGGUUCCGGGGGCUGCGCCUAUAGCUAAGGUGCCUUAUCGUCUUGCACCUCCAGAGAUGCAAGAGUUAUCCUCGCAGCUUCAGGAGUUGCUGGGGAAGGGAUUUAUUCGGCCGAGCAGCUCGCCGUGGGGAGCACCUAUUCUGUUUGUCAAGAAGAAGGAUGGUUCACACCGGAUGUGUAUUGAUUACCGGGAGUUGAACAAGCUGACGGUCAAGAACCGUUACCCGUUGCCGAGGAUCGACGAUUUAUUUGAUCAGUUGCAGGGAGCAUCUUGGUUUUCCAAGAUCGAUUUGAGGUCGGGAUAUCAUCAGGUGAGGGUGCGAGAUGAGGACGUCCAGAAGACAGCUUUCAGGACGCGUUAUGGGCAUUAUGAGUUUGUGGUGAUGCCUUUUGGGCUCACCAAUGCCCCGGCGGUGUUCAUGGAUCUCAUGAACAGGGUAUGUAGGCCGAUGUUGGAUCGGUCGGUGAUUGUAUUUAUCGAUGAUAUUCUGGUGUAUUCGAGAUCUAGGGAGCAGCAUGAGGAACAUUUGAGGGAGGUCCUUGGGGUACUGAGAUCGGAGAAGCUUUAUGCAAAGUUCUCCAAGUGUGAUUUCUGGUUACGGGAGGUCCAGUUCCUAGGACAUCUCGUUAACCAGGAAGGGAUUCUGGUCGAUCCGGCCAAGGUUGAGGCGGUGAUGGGUUGGGAGGUGCCAAAGUCACCCUCUGAGAUCAGGAGCUUCCUUGGAUUAGCAGGGUAUUAUCGGAGAUUUAUCAAGGAUUUCUCCAAGAUCGCAGUGCCGCUCACCAGGUUGACCCGGAAGGGUGUUGCAUUCUCAUGGGGUCCCGAGCAGCAGACCUCCUUUGAGACACUUCGCCAGAGGUUGUGCGAAGCCCCGGUAUUAGCUCUCCCGGAAGGGAUGGAGGAUUUUGUAGUAUAUUGUGAUGCAUCGAUUUUGGGGUUGGGUGCGGUGUUGAUGCAGAGGGGUCAUGUGAUAGCAUAUGCAUCGAGGCAGCUGAAGCCUCAUGAGACGAGAUAUCCCACGCAUGAUCUAGAGUUGGGGGCAGUAGUGUUCGCCCUCAAGAUUUGGCGCCACUACUUAUAUGGGGUUCGAUGUACGAUAUACACGGACCAUAAGAGCUUGAAGUACUUGAUGGAUCAGCCCAAUCUAAACAUGCGUCAGAGGAGGUGGUUAGAUGUGGUCAAGGAUUAUGAUUGUGAGAUCCUGUACCACCCGGGCAAGGCCAACGUGGUGGCCGAUGCGUUGAGCCGCAGGGCGGAGAGCACUCCAUUGCGAGAUGUAUGUUUGAGAUUGACCAUGAUAGCUCCGGUAUUGGAUGCCAUUCGUGGGGCACAGGCCGAGGCUGUGCAGCCGGAGAUGCAGAAGAGGGAACGGGUCGUUGGUUUGGUUUCAGAAUUCGUUACGGAUGGGCGAGGGCUUAUGACUUUUCAGGGUCGGAUUUGGGUACCGUUCGUGGGUGGUACGCGCACUUCCUUGAUGGAGGAGGCUCAUCGGUCGAAAUUUUCGAUCCAUCCGGGGGCUACGAAGAUGUAUUUGGAUUUGAGGAGAGAGUAUUGGUGGCCCUGUAUGAAGAGGGACGUCGCAUGGUUCGUUGAGAGGUGCUUGACCUGUCGUAGGGUUAAGGCCGAGCACCAGAGACCACAUGGCAAGUUGCAGCCAUUGGAGGUUCCCGAAUGGAAAUGGGAACAGAUCACUAUGGAUUUCAUCACCAAAUUGCCGAGAACUGCCAGGGGAGUUGAUGCAAUUUGGGUGAUUGUGGAUAGGUUGACGAAGAGCGCUCACUUCCUUGCCAUCAGUGAGAGUUCUUCAGCAGAGAAGUUGGCAGAGUUAUAUGUGAGAGAAGUGGUAUCUCGGCAUGGGGUGCCGAUCUCGAUUGUUUCAGACCGUGAUGUGCGCUUUACUUCCAGAUUCUGGAAGAAAUUUCAUGAGGAGUUGGGUACUAGAUUGCAUUUUAGUACCGCAUAUCAUCCCCAGACAGACGGUCAGAGUGAGCGGACGAUUCAGACGCUUGAGGACAUGCUUCGAGCAUGUGUGUUGGAUUUUGGGGGUAGCUGGGAUGCGUAUCUACCCUUGGCAGAGUUUUCCUACAACAACAGCCAUCAUUCGAGCAUUGGUAUGCCACCCUUUGAGCUGUUGUAUGGUAGGAGGUGUCGGACCCCCAUUUGCUGGGGAGAGGUCGGGCAGAGAGUGAUGGGCAGUACCGAGAUCGUGCUUCAGACGACAGAGCAGAUUCAGCAGGUCAGACAGAGGUUGUUGACCGCCCAGAGUCGACAGAAGAGUUAUGCAGACAGACGCCGGUCCGAGCUUGAGUUUCAGGUCGGCGACUUCGUUCUCCUGAAGGUCUCUCCUUGGAAAGGAGUGAUUCGAUUCAGGAAGAGGGGCAAGUUGGGGCCCCGGUAUAUUGGGCCAUUUCGUGUGAUUGCGAGGGUAGGCCGGGUAGCCUAUCGUUUGGAAUUGCCAGCAGAGUUGGGGCAAAUCCACGACACUUUUCAUGUGUCGCAAUUGAGGAAAUGUAUUGCCGAUGAGUCGGCAGUAGUUCCAUUAGAGGAUAUUCAGGUGGAUGCGAGCCUGAAUUAUGCCGAGAGACCAGUAGCCAUCAGAGAUCGGAAGAUCAAGGUUCUGAGGAACAAGGAGGUACCUUUGGUGUUGGUUCAGUGGCAACACCGGAAGGGAUCAGAGAUGACCUGGGAGCCGGAGCGCGAGAUGCGGGCUCAGCAUCCGGAGCUAUUUUAGAGCGAGACUUCGAGGGCGAAGUCUAAUCCUAGUGGGGGAGAAUUGUAACAGCCCGGAUCUCCAGGUAUUUUAUUGUUUUAAUAUUUUGAGUUUUGAGAAGGGACUCGGCGAGUUGGAGCUCAGACUCGCCGAGUAGGGUCGCGAUUCUGGACGCGGGAUUCGUUCGGACUCGGCGAGUCCAGGAUAUGGACUCGGCGAGUCCACGCUGUUUAAUGAAACCCUAAUUUCUCGGGUUUGGGACCUAUUUAAAUGGCCUUAUGGCCGUCAUUUGCAUCCAUCAGUCCAUAGAGAGAAACCCUAAAAGUGCUUUAGCGAUUUGAGAGUGAAAGGAGGCAUUUCUUGACAUUUGUGUGUUGUUUAGCAAAGAAGAAGGAGGCUCUAGCCAAGAGGAGGCAAAGGGGACUGCUAUUUGGUGGAUUGGAAGCUUGACCCUUCAAUCUAAAGGUAUAAUUUCGACUCAUCUCCUGUUUUGUGAAGUAUAACCGAUUUUAGGGUUUCUUGUGGCCUUGUUGAGUUGAUUUGAUGGCCAAAUAGUCCCAUGCUAGUGAUGAGACUUCGGAUCUGGAUCCAUAGAGGUCCAGAGAGUCUCAUUCUUCAAGCUUUAUAGAGAACAAUGGAGGUCAUGACCUUGUGUAGUGAGAUUUGUUGAAGAUUCUUCAUAAUUAGUCAUAUAGAGGUUGUUAAUGCAUCAAGACUAGGACUUUACGUGAUGAAUCAGUCUAGGAGGGCCAGAUCUAUGAAUUGUUGGAGUAGAUCUGACCUUAGAAGCAAGUUUGAGUGAUUGCAUGGAAUGGACUCGCCGAGUCCGAUGAGCAGACUCGGCGAGUAGCUUGAAGAUUGCCUUGGACCGGCCAGUGAGUGGUCCAGACGAGUCAGGAGUUGACCCAGUGAGUCAGGGCGAGUUAGAGAGGAUUGUCAUGUGGUCUGAGUCGAGCUGGGACUCGCCGAGUCGUUCUUGAGACUCGGCGAGUUGAGUCGGGGUGGUCCCGCGAUUCUUCCAGGUGGAACUCGUCGAGUCAGGGGGAGUACUCGACGUGUAGAAAGGGAAUCCUAGAGAGUUGGUGAGAACGUCUAGACUCGCCGAGUUGCCGCGUGCACUCGCCGAGUCCGGUCAAAGUUGACCGUUGACCGUUGACCGUUGACCUGUGUUGACUUCUUAGGGAUAGUCAACCUUAGAGAUAAAAGUGUUAAUUAGAGUCUUGUGAUGUUAUAGGAGGAUUAGAGCUCGGAGGAUCGAGUACGAGGGAUUUCCAGGGAUCGUGAGAUACCGAGACACGCGAGGUGAGUCUUCUCACUAUACCUUACCUUGAGUCGGUAAUCAGAGUUAUGUGUUAGUGCAUGUAUGUUACGUGUAUGUUAUGUGUUGUACUGCAUUAUUUCUAUGUGAUUUAUGCUGUGCAUGUUUAUAGAGUUGGAACCGGAAGGUUCACAGAGUUAGAACCUGAGGGUUCACAGAGUUUGGGUGCACGGACCCAUAGAGUUAUGGCCUCGAGUGGCUAAUAUGUGUUUUAUGUGUGGUAUUUUGGGGAACUCACUAAGCUUUGUGCUUACAGUGUUAGUGUUGUUGUUUCAGGUACUAGCGAUGACCGUGGGAAGGCGCCGGCUUGAUCUGUACACACGUAGAGGAAUUUGAUAUAAUUAUGUGAUCUUGGGAUUUGUAUGAUACAUAUUGGAAUUUGAAAUUUGAUGUUUUAUGAAAUUAAGAGAGAAAUGCUUUUAUAAAUUGUGAAAAAUAAAUUUUAAAAUUUUCAGUGUUACAAGUUGGUAUCAGAGCCUUGGUUUGAGGGAUUCGAGUACACCUUCGGGCGUAUUUGAACUCAAACUGAGGAUUUGAGAUGUAUUUUCAAAAAGAGUAAAAGAUUUUCGAAAAACGCAGAGCAAGAGAUGUGUGUACGAUCAGUCAGCGCCCGAACGGUGAUUUCCCAAAAUACCUUUAUAUAUUAUGUGAUAUUGAUAUUGAUAUGAUGUAUCCGCAUGCUAGAGUAGGCUAGGUAUUGCUAUUAGGACUAGAGUGGCCUGAUGUGUGAUGCCUUAGCCUAGGGAGAGGUGAGCUGCUAUGAGAUGCUUGAGAGUGAGUAGGUAGCAGCAAGGGACUUAUGAGAAAUCUAUUAGAGAGUAGUCUAUGCAUGAUAAAGUACUUGAGACCUGGGAUCCAAAGAGAAGGACUUGGAGUGUAUUCUGGUGCGGUGCGGACAGUAGUAUUGGGCCCGUACUACUGGAAGCACCGGAGCAGUGUGCAGCCUAAGUCAGAAUCUUUGGAAUGCCAAGAAUCAAGGAGAAAAGAGUUGUCGAGUGUGAGCAUACUCGUGUGGAUUCUAAUUUAUCGUAUGUUGUAUUUCAGAGGUAGAUCAUGGUGAGGACACGUUUGAUGCCCGAGAGCAGUGGUACCAGUGAGGAGGAGAUCCGCCGGAUCAUUCAGGAGGAGGUGGCUGCGGCCAUCAGGGCAGAGAUACCGGAGAUGUUUGGGUCUAUAAAGACCACCUUGAUUGAGACGUUUGAUGAGCGUUAUGCCGCUCUUUCUGAGGCUGCUGCUGCAGCGGCUACCGCAGCGAUUGCUGCUGCGAGGCCGCAGGGUGGGGAUGCGUUGCUGUUCCGUGAGUUCAGCAACACAAAACCACCAGAGUUUGAUGGUACUCAGGAUCCGGUGGCAGCUAUGAGGUGGAUAUCUGAUAUUGAGGGGUGUUUCUUCACUUGCUCGUCUCCUGAGCAUUUGAAGGUACGGUUCGCGCUGAACCAGCUUCGCUUGGGAGCGAAGGACUGGUGGAAGUUUGUGACAGCGCAUUAUUCGCCUGCUGAGCUUUCUGCGGUGACCUGGGAGAGGUUCACCACUAUGUUUCGGGAUGAGUACGUUCCCCAGGUGGAGAGGGAGCGUUUAGCACAGGAGUUUCUGACCCUCAAGCAGGGUACUGAGUCUGUUACAGCGAUCACGAGGAUGUUCCACGAGAGGGCGAUGUUCUGCCCUGAGCACGUGUCCACUGAGCAGGCACGUAUGAGCCGCUACUUGAGCAUCUUGAGGAGGGAUAUUCGGGAGUUCGCUGCGAACUCCUCGUACCGGACAUUUGCCGAGCUUCAGGCAAAUGCCCGGAAGAGGGAGAUUGAGCUUGAGACCCAGGCCAGGGAGGAGGCAGAGUCUCAGGGGAGGGAUCGGCGACCGGCGUUGUCGCAGCCGGCCGCCAAGCGGGCCAAGCCUGCUGAUCCCAGACCAGGGAGCCAGAAGGGCCGCACUUGCGGAAAGUGCGGCAAGGGUCAUGACGGAGUCUGCCGAGCAGGGUCUUGCUACAAAUGUGGCAAGGAGGGGCACAUGGCCAAGGACUGCCCCAAGGGGUUUGCAGUGUGCUUUCACUGCAACCAGACCGGACACCGGAAGGCCGAGUGUCCGCAGUUGCGCGGAGCAUCUCAGGGGUCUGCUCCUGCCGCCACCAGAGUUACAGAGAGUCGGCCUGUGAAGGCCGAGACGCCGAGAGCUCGAGGGAGAGCCUUCCAGCUGACUGCGGAGGAGGUCCGCGCUGCGCCCGAUGUUGUGGCUGGUAUGUUUCCUUUCGUGUAUUUAUUUUGACAUAUGAUGUUAUGCUUAUAUUAUGUUAUGUGUAGGUACUUUUCUUGUGAAUUCCGUACCUGCUUUAGUGUUAUUUGACUCGGGUGCGAGUCGGUCUUUUGUAUCUUUGGCCUUUAGCCAGCAUAUCAGUGCUAGUCGUGAGGCACUGAGUCGGCCUCUGAGAGUCUCCAUAGCUGAUGAUAGAGUGAUUUGUGCCACAGAGGUUUUCCGGGGAUGUGUGUUAGAGAUCUUCGGGAUUGAGUUUCCGAUUGAUCUGAUUCCUAUUGCGAUGGGCGAUGUUUGUGUCAUUGUGGGCAUGGACUGGUUGAGCCGAUUCGGCGCGAUUAUCGACUGUGAGCGUCAGCUGGUGACUAUACGAGACCCUAGUGGGGGAGUUCUUUCGGUGUACGGUGAGGGUACACGUUCGGGAUCAGCCUUUUGUUCGGCCGCCAGGGCGAGGCAGUGUCUACAGCAGGGCUGUAAGGGUUUUGUGGCGUAUGUGAUGGAUACGCGAGCGACUUCCGAGAGACCGAGUUCAGUUGGGGAGGUACCGGUGGUAUGUGAGUUUCCAGAUGUCUUUCCCGAGGAGCUGCCGGGAGUACCUCCUGUGAGGCAAGUAGAGUUUGGUAUUGAUUUGGUUCCGGGGGCUGCGCCUAUAGCUAAGGUGCCUUAUCGUCUUGCACCUCCAGAGAUGCAAGAGUUAUCCUCGCAGCUUCAGGAGUUGCUGGGGAAGGGAUUUAUUCGGCCGAGCAGCUCGCCGUGGGGAGCACCUAUUCUGUUUGUCAAGAAGAAGGAUGGUUCACACCGGAUGUGUAUUGAUUACCGGGAGUUGAACAAGCUGACGGUCAAGAACCGUUACCCGUUGCCGAGGAUCGACGAUUUAUUUGAUCAGUUGCAGGGAGCAUCUUGGUUUUCCAAGAUCGAUUUGAGGUCGGGAUAUCAUCAGGUGAGGGUGCGAGACGGGGACGUCCAGAAGACAGCUUUCAGGACGCGUUAUGGGCAUUAUGAGUUUGUGGUGAUGCCUUUUGGGCUCACCAAUGCCCCGGCGGUGUUCAUGGAUCUCAUGAACAGGGUAUGUAGGCCGAUGUUGGAUCGGUCGGUGAUUGUAUUUAUCGAUGAUAUUCUGGUGUAUUCGAGAUCUAGGGAGCAGCAUGAGGAACAUUUGAGGGAGGUCCUUGGGGUACUGAGAUCGGAGAAGCUUUAUGCAAAGUUCUCCAAGUGUGAUUUCUGGUUACGGGAGGUCCAGUUCCUAGGACAUCUCGUUAACCAGGAAGGGAUUCUGGUCGAUCCGGCCAAGGUUGAGGCGGUGAUGGGUUGGGAGGUGCCAAAGUCACCCUCUGAGAUCAGGAGCUUCCUUGGAUUAGCAGGGUAUUAUCGGAGAUUUAUCAAGGAUUUCUCCAAGAUCGCAGUGCCGCUCACCAGGUUGACCCGGAAGGGUGUUGCAUUCUCAUGGGGUCCCGAGCAGCAGACCUCCUUUGAGACACUUCGCCAGAGGUUGUGCGAAGCCCCGGUAUUAGCUCUCCCGGAAGGGAUGGAGGAUUUUGUAGUAUAUUGUGAUGCAUCGAUUUUGGGGUUGGGUGCGGUGUUGAUGCAGAGGGGUCAUGUGAUAGCAUAUGCAUCGAGGCAGCUGAAGCCUCAUGAGACGAGAUAUCCCACGCAUGAUCUAGAGUUGGGGGCAGUAGUGUUCGCCCUCAAGAUUUGGCGCCACUACUUAUAUGGGGUUCGAUGUACGAUAUACACGGACCAUAAGAGCUUGAAGUACUUGAUGGAUCAGCCCAAUCUAAACAUGCGUCAGAGGAGGUGGUUAGAUGUGGUCAAGGAUUAUGAUUGUGAGAUCCUGUACCACCCGGGCAAGGCCAACGUGGUGGCCGAUGCGUUGAGCCGCAGGGCGGAGAGCACUCCAUUGCGAGAUGUAUGUUUGAGAUUGACCAUGAUAGCUCCGGUAUUGGAUGCCAUUCGUGGGGCACAGGCCGAGGCUGUGCAGCCGGAGAUGCAGAAGAGGGAACGGGUCGUUGGUUUGGUUUCAGAAUUCGUUACGGAUGGGCGAGGGCUUAUGACUUUUCAGGGUCGGAUUUGGGUACCGUUCGUGGGUGGUACGCGCACUUCCUUGAUGGAGGAGGCUCAUCGGUCGAAAUUUUCGAUCCAUCCGGGGGCUACGAAGAUGUAUUUGGAUUUGAGGAGAGAGUAUUGGUGGCCCUGUAUGAAGAGGGACGUCGCAUGGUUCGUUGAGAGGUGCUUGACCUGUCGUAGGGUUAAGGCCGAGCACCAGAGACCACAUGGCAAGUUGCAGCCAUUGGAGGUUCCCGAAUGGAAAUGGGAACAGAUCACUAUGGAUUUCAUCACCAAAUUGCCGAGAACUGCCAGGGGAGUUGAUGCAAUUUGGGUGAUUGUGGAUAGGUUGACGAAGAGCGCUCACUUCCUUGCCAUCAGUGAGAGUUCUUCAGCAGAGAAGUUGGCAGAGUUAUAUGUGAGAGAAGUGGUAUCUCGGCAUGGGGUGCCGAUCUCGAUUGUUUCAGACCGUGAUGUGCGCUUUACUUCCAGAUUCUGGAAGAAAUUUCAUGAGGAGUUGGGUACUAGAUUGCAUUUUAGUACCGCAUAUCAUCCCCAGACAGACGGUCAGAGUGAGCGGACGAUUCAGACGCUUGAGGACAUGCUUCGAGCAUGUGUGUUGGAUUUUGGGGGUAGCUGGGAUGCGUAUCUACCCUUGGCAGAGUUUUCCUACAACAACAGCCAUCAUUCGAGCAUUGGUAUGCCACCCUUUGAGCUGUUGUAUGGUAGGAGGUGUCGGACCCCCAUUUGCUGGGGAGAGGUCGGGCAGAGAGUGAUGGGCAGUACCGAGAUCGUGCUUCAGACGACAGAGCAGAUUCAGCAGGUCAGACAGAGGUUGUUGACCGCCCAGAGUCGACAGAAGAGUUAUGCAGACAGACGCCGGUCCGAGCUUGAGUUUCAGGUCGGCGACUUCGUUCUCCUGAAGGUCUCUCCUUGGAAAGGAGUGAUUCGAUUCAGGAAGAGGGGCAAGUUGGGGCCCCGGUAUAUUGGGCCAUUUCGCGUGAUUGCGAGGGUAGGCCGGGUAGCCUAUCGUUUGGAAUUGCCAGCAGAGUUGGGGCAAAUCCACGACACUUUUCAUGUGUCGCAAUUGAGGAAAUGUAUUGCCGAUGAGUCGGCAGUAGUUCCAUUAGAGGAUAUUCAGGUGGAUGCGAGCCUGAAUUAUGCCGAGAGACCAGUAGCCAUCAGAGAUCGGAAGAUCAAGGUUCUGAGGAACAAGGAGGUACCUUUGGUGUUGGUUCAGUGGCAACACCGGAAGGGAUCAGAGAUGACCUGGGAGCCGGAGCGCGAGAUGCGGGCUCAGCAUCCGGAGCUAUUUUAGAGCGAGACUUCGAGGGCGAAGUCUAAUCCUAGUGGGGGAGAAUUGUAACAGCCCGGAUCUCCAGGUAUUUUAUUGUUUUAAUAUUUUGAGUUUUGAGAAGGGACUCGGCGAGUUGGAGCUCAGACUCGCCGAGUAGGGUCGCGAUUCUGGACGCGGGAUUCGUUCGGACUCGGCGAGUCCAGGAUAUGGACUCGGCGAGUCCACGCUGUUUAAUGAAACCCUAAUUUCUCGGGUUUGGGACCUAUUUAAAUGGCCUUAUGGCCGUCAUUUGCAUCCAUCAGUCCAUAGAGAGAAACCCUAAAAGUGCUUUAGCGAUUUGAGAGUGAAAGGAGGCAUUUCUUGACAUUUGUGUGUUGUUUAGCAAAGAAGAAGGAGGCUCUAGCCAAGAGGAGGCAAAGGGGACUGCUAUUUGGUGGAUUGGAAGCUUGACCCUUCAAUCUAAAGGUAUAAUUUCGACUCAUCUCCUGUUUUGUGAAGUAUAACCGAUUUUAGGGUUUCUUGUGGCCUUGUUGAGUUGAUUUGAUGGCCAAAUAGUCCCAUGCUAGUGAUGAGACUUCGGAUCUGGAUCCAUAGAGGUCCAGAGAGUCUCAUUCUUCAAGCUUUAUAGAGAACAAUGGAGGUCAUGACCUUGUGUAGUGAGAUUUGUUGAAGAUUCUUCAUAAUUAGUCAUAUAGAGGUUGUUAAUGCAUCAAGACUAGGACUUUACGUGAUGAAUCAGUCUAGGAGGGCCAGAUCUAUGAAUUGUUGGAGUAGAUCUGACCUUAGAAGCAAGUUUGAGUGAUUGCAUGGAAUGGACUCGCCGAGUCCGAUGAGCAGACUCGGCGAGUAGCUUGAAGAUUGCCUUGGACCGGCCAGAGAGUGGUCCAGACGAGUCAGGAGUUGACCCAGUGAGUCAGGGCGAGUUAGAGAGGAUUGUCAUGUGGUCUGAGUCGAGCUGGGACUCGCCGAGUCGUUCUUGAGACUCGGCGAGUUGAGUCGGGGUGGCCCCGCGAUUCUUCCAGGUGGAACUCGUCGAGUCAGGGGGAGUACUCGACGUGUAAGAAGGGAAUCCUAGAGAGUUGGGGAAAACGUCUAGACUUGCCGAGUUGCCCUUGUGCACUCGCCGAGUCCGGUCAAAGUUGACCGUUGACCGUUGACCAGAGUUGACCUGUGUGGACUUCUUAGGGAUAGUCAACCUUAGAGAUAAAAAAAAUGUUAAUUAGAGACAUAUGAUGUUAUAGGAGGAUUAUAGCUCGGAGGAUCGGGCACGAGGGAUUUCAGGAUUUGGGAGUCAUCGAGAUACGCAAGGUGAGUCUUCUCACUAUACUUUACCUUGAGUAGGUAACCAGAGUUAUGUGACAGAGUAUUGUAUGUUAUGUAUGCUAUAUGUUGUACU